AGAUUCCUUGAUGGCCAUUGAAAAAUUAGCUGGUGCCUGUAUUUCAGGCUUAUUGUUUCCUAGGAUCUCAGGGAGAUCAGGCCACGUGGUCUGUGGAUUAAUUAAGGCACCCAGAUAAUUGGCUAUUAAUAGAUGGCCAAUUGAUGGCUGCCAGCUGGGUGCUGAAUUGACUAAUGUCCUUAUGGUGGGCAGGUGGUCUUUAUCAGAAGAGGAGCUAGCUGAAAGACUUUACUAAUUAAAGGGUGAAUCAGGAAAAGAAGAUAAGAGGUAGCUUUUUUCCCCACCACUUGGUGUGAUGUUUUACGGUUUACAAAGCAUUUAUAUCCACAAAUGCCUCAUUUGAUCCUUACUGCGACCUUGUGAGCCUUCAGACGCUGACUGGGACGACCUGUGGGACCAGUUUGAUGAGCGGCGGUAUCUGAAUGCCAAAAAGUGGCGCGUUGGUGACGACCCCUAUAAGCUGUAUGCUUUCAACCAGCGAGAGAGUGAGCGGAUCUCCAGCAAUCGGGCCGUCCCGGACACUCGCCAUCUGAGAUGCACGCUGCUGGUGUAUUGCACGGACCUU
This 565-nucleotide small RNA is filed under the name Pan troglodytes (chimpanzee). Its description in RNAcentral is "processed transcript". Lineage: Eukaryota; Metazoa; Chordata; Mammalia; Primates; Hominidae. The record is from RNAcentral.